Long non-coding RNA from Spodoptera frugiperda (fall armyworm), 622 nucleotides. RefSeq lists it as uncharacterized. The record is from RefSeq and is a predicted model, not a curated record. The transcript is spliced from 3 exons. NCBI's taxonomy places the organism in Eukaryota, Metazoa, Arthropoda, Insecta, Lepidoptera, Noctuidae.
UAUAAAUGUUCCUGUGUUUCCAGAACUACGUCAGUUCGAAACCCGGUUCGAGCAGUGCAGUCAAUCGAAACAUUGCAGUGCAGUAACGCAACGAUGAAGUUUAUUGUGACAUUAUUUCUGGUCGUGGCGCUCGCGGACCUGUUCCAUUGUUCCCCAGCAAAACCUUAUACGGACCGUCCACAAGUGAGGAAUGUUCCUAGUAAUGGAAUACCCAACAGACCUUCAGGACCUCAGGUACCUGCCUCUGUGGGGGCCGGUGGAAGAGAGGACAAAGGAGUUCAAACCUUGAACUUAUCUAAGCAUUCAUGAAGAUGGCCACGCAUUAUACACGACCUGGCUUGCCACAAAACCUUGAUUUACUUUAUGUUCUAGGCGUAAAAACAAACCAAACCAAAAAGACUAUUAGGAUUAGUUUAUAAAGCAUUAUUUAUAAUAAUAUUUACCAUGUGACUUGUGUCGGUUGACUACUAAACCAACCAAUGGUUACUGUCACUGUGUUCAAUCAAACAACUUGACUGACUGUUCGUAAUAUUGUGUCUUCUAAUGCAGGCACAAUAAGUUAUGUAAAGUAUUUUUGUAGUAUAUUAAUUUAUGACUAUGUUAAAUAAAUUGUGUAAAACUA